Molecule: ribosomal RNA, 228 nt
Filed under: Triticum aestivum (bread wheat)
Lineage: Eukaryota; Viridiplantae; Streptophyta; Magnoliopsida; Poales; Poaceae
Description: partial small subunit ribosomal RNA
Source: RNAcentral
CUAUGUUAUCCAAAAUAUGAAGGGGGUAUGUGAUUCCGGGAUCUUCACUCUUCCAGUCUCGCAAUGUUGUCAAAGAAAUGUUGGAGAUUGAUUACUAAUCCAGACUCUCUUUCUGCUGAAAUGCUAAAAGCUAAAUAUUAUCCUAAUGGGAUCCUAUUGCAGGUAAGUUUUAAAGAAUGGUUCACCUUUUGCAUGCCACGGUAUAAUGAAGGGGCUAGAAACGUUUAA